AUUUGGGAUCCUCCUCCUGCAGCCUCCUGAACUUCUGGGAUUACAGAUUGUAAACUUGAAGUAGGACCCUAUUCAAGUGAUGAUCCAAGUUAUAAAACGACCUCCUGUCACAAAAACAUGAGAAGUUUGUUUUUCCUUUGGAUGAAGCUGACUAGCUAACAGUUACCUUAAUUACCAGGUGACUCUAGGAUGAACUAUGUGCGACAAAUGGAGCUGUUAAGUCUUAUUUUAGAACUAGCUAUUGUUUACCUUGAGAACAUGUAUGUAUUGGACUGUUUCUGCAUCACUGUAUAAAAAGAUGAUAUUUCUUUGAUUUUGUGAUCUCUUAGUAGCUUGCCUAUGAUAGACAUCACAUUUUGGUUUAAUGUUUAUUCAACAACCAAAACUGUUUGCAUUAUCUGUGUUUGUGGAGAGAUGUUCUGGGUUGAGAGAUUUUGUUUUAAAUUUUAUUUCACCAACAGGAGCAUUCAGAAAAUAUUUGUCACAGAUCUGAGUUGCCAUAGUAAUUAGAGAUAUGAAAUUGGGAAUAGACUGAAGAAUGCUUUCUAAUAGCAUACUUACAAAAUUCUUAUGAAAGACUCCUUCUUUGAACUAGGUCAUUGCUUGAUUCCUAUGGAAUUAUAAAUUUCUACAUUACAUUCUAUCCUCAGAAUCCUAAGGGAUCACAGAAUCAAGGGGACUGAAUCUAGAACCAUAAACAACAUCUCUGGAUGCGUGAAUUAAUAUAUAUUUUACCUAGAGUCAAAUAUGUACAGAUGCUCCUUAAUUUUGGAUAGGGUUAUAUCCCAGUAAGCACACUGCAAGUCGAAAUUAUCACAAAUUAAAAAUGCAUUUAAUACACCUAAAUUACUAUCAUAGCUUUAGCACAUAGCACACUAUAGAAUACCAGUUGUUUACACUGCUGGUCACAUGACUGACUAGGAGCAGCUGCUCACUGCCACAGCUCAGCAUUGCAAGAAAGUAUGAGUCACAUAAUCCACAUCCUAGGAAAAUAUAAAAUUAAAAAUUUGAAGUAUGAUUUCUAUUGAAUACAAAUCACUUCUGUACCCACUAUAAAAUAAAAAUAUCACUAGGUGGAACCAUUGUAAGUUGGGGACUGACUGUGUGUGUUUGUGUAUAUGUGUUUACCAUUUAAUACAACACUAUAAUGAUCGCUUUUAAUUUCUUUAUAUGUAUCAAGCCAUACUCUUAUUAUACUUAUGAGAAUGAAAACAAAAAGUCUUAAAACACAUUAA
Long non-coding RNA from Ictidomys tridecemlineatus (thirteen-lined ground squirrel), 1235 nucleotides. RefSeq lists it as uncharacterized. The record is from RefSeq and is a predicted model, not a curated record. NCBI's taxonomy places the organism in Eukaryota, Metazoa, Chordata, Mammalia, Rodentia, Sciuridae.